This 187-nucleotide non-coding RNA is filed under the name bovine gut metagenome. The record is from RNAcentral.
AUGACGGUUUCCGCGAAAGCGGAAUUAAAAGGGAAUCAGGUGCAAAUCCUGGACAAUCCCGUUGCUGUAAACUCUUGUGACACUGCGCAUUAACAAGCGCACGUCAACGGCCGGAUACCAUGUCACUGCCAAAGAACGGUGGGAAGACGUCGGGACGAGGAGUAAGUCAGAAGACCUGCCGCAUACA